AGUUUAUUGAGGUACAAUUUAAUAAAUUUUAUAAUAUUAUCGGGGCUAGUAUGAGAAUUUAUCCUUUGGAGAAAUCAAAAAUCGUGGUUCAGGCGAACGAAGAAAGGAAUUAUCAUAUCUUUUAUCAAAUAUGCUCAGUGGCGAAACGUCUUCCACACCUACAUCUUGAAAACUCAAUCGAAUUUCAUUGCAUCAAUCCAGAAAAUAAUUCUAGAAUCAAAGGAGUUAACGAUCUUUCAUGAUUCGAUGAUACAAUUAGUACUAUGACGCUUGACUUUACAUUCAAACAGUAAAAUAAUAUGUUGAGAAUAUUAGCAACCAUAUUGCAUUUAAGAAGCAUAAAUAUAAAUACCUUUGAUAUACAAAACGAGGAUGAUGAUAAUACAGAAGCUACUUUUAUUUCUGUAAGUUUUCUAUAAGAAAUUUCAUGAAUUACUUGGUACGAACAUGAAUGCUAUGCGAAAAUGGCUUCGCUAUAGGAAGAUCAUAUCGAUGAGGAAAGACUUUUUAAAGCCAAUGAAUGCAAAACAAGCGAUAAGAACUAGAAUUGCUUUGGCAAAACACAUUUAUUCCAAGCUAUCCAAUUGGAUAGUAAUCUGUAUUAAUAAUUCACUACAAUUUCAAGACAAGGUUCAGUGUUUCAUAAGUGUGUUGGAUAUUUACGCAUUCGGAACAUUUGAAAUAAACUCUUUUAAAAUCUUGUAUAAACUAUGCGAAUAAAAAGUUACAGCAACAAUUCAAUCAGUAUAUCUUUAAACUUGGACAAGAAAAAUAUUUCAAGAAAGGGAUUGAAUGGACUUUUAUAAAUAUUUACAAUGAUAGAUUAAUAGAACCGUGCAUCGAUUUAAUAGAAUUAAAAUUAAACAUAUUAUAUACACUGGAAGAAAAGUAUCGGAUAAAAAAGAUGAUUUGAUUCACAGAUAAUAUGUCAAUUAGUACUGUUGUGUAAGAUAAAUAUACGUAUAUACGUAUAUAUUUCAUUAAAAUAGUCAAGCAGGUUACUUCGUUAAUUUUAAAUAAAAUUUUUGAAUAUAUUUGUGAGCAACUGCAACUUUUAUCAUGAUCUUACUACGAUACAACGAAAAGAAAUUAAUUUUUUAAUCAAUGAUUUAUAUUUUAAUAUAACAAUGAAUAUUUGACAUAGAUGCCAAAAUGAAUGGAUACUUCAUGGGCCGAUAAACUCUCUGCAAAAUGUAAAAAAUCAAAACAUUUCAAAAAGCCACAAAAUACUUAUUUUCUUAAUAUAUCACUUGGCUGAUUUGAUCCAACAGAAGGCGUUAGAUUUUCUUGCGAAGAACAGAGAUACAAUGAUGGGGACACAAAUAGAUGUGUUAAAAACUAGUGAGGUUUAAUAUGUUGAUAUAGGUAUAAAAAAAUGAAAAGAGCGAUUUUAGAUUUUCAAAGAUAUAGUAAAGGAUUUUUGGCAAGGCAAAGGGCUGAAUGGAUUAGAUGCGAAAGAACUGCCAUUAAAAUUCAAAUGAAUAUUAGAGGCUGAUUUAAGAGUGUGCUAUCAAAGAAUUAGACGCACAAUUAUUAGUAUUUGGAAUUAUGAUAGAGGUAAAAUGACAAGAGAAAGAAAUUGUUUAAUGAAGGACACUAUAAGUACAACGAUCAUUCGAUAUAUAAAAGGAUAUUUAGUUAGAAUGAUAUGUAAAAAGAAAGUGAGAAAUAUAGUUCAGUCGUGUAUAAAAAAAUAUAUGGCUAAGAAAAUAUUUAGAGAACUAUAUAUUGAAGCUAAAAACGUAAAACAUGUCAAAUUUAUUAACAAUAAAGAAAAAGAUUAUCACUUUACAACAAAAAAUAAAUAAAUUUAUAAAUAUUUUUCUUUGUUAGGCGUUAGUUUAAUUCAGUAAGUAAUUAUUUGGAAUUAUUAUGAUCAUUUUAAAUAAAAGAAGAUUAACAUUUAAUGAAUGUGCAUAAUAAAAUAUUUCAUUUAAAAAAUAAGUUUGGAAAGACAAAUUCGCAAACGUCAGGAAUAAAAAGUUAAACGUUAUCCAAUUAAAGAAACAAAAAAAAAAUUAGAAAAAAUGUAGAAUGUAUUUAGACAAGAAAGAGAUGA
Molecule: long non-coding RNA, 2059 nt
Organism: Vespula pensylvanica (western yellowjacket)
Lineage: Eukaryota; Metazoa; Arthropoda; Insecta; Hymenoptera; Vespidae
Exons: 4
Source: RefSeq, a predicted model, not a curated record